This 387-nucleotide ribosomal RNA is filed under the name uncultured bacterium. Its description in RNAcentral is "bacterial SSU rRNA". It matches the Rfam family "Bacterial small subunit ribosomal RNA", at positions 29 to 417 of the family's 1533-position model. The record is from RNAcentral.
AUUGAACGCUGGCGGCAUGCCUUACACAUGCAAGUCGAACGGCAGCACGGGGGCAACCCUGGUGGCGAGUGGCGAACGGGUGAGUAAUACAUCGGAACGUGCCCAGUAGUGGGGGAUAGCCCGGCGAAAGCCGGAUUAAUACCGCAUACGACCUACGGGUGAAAGUGGGGGAUCGCAAGACCUCGCGCUAUCGGAGCGGCCGAUGUCAGAUUAGGUUGUUGGUGGGGUAAAAGCCUACCAAGCCGGCGAUCUGUAGCUGGUCUGAGAGGACGACCAGCCACACUGGGACUGAGACACGGCCCAGACUCCUACGGGAGGCAGCAGUGGGGAAUUUUGGACAAUGGGCGCAAGCCUGAUCCAGCCAUGCCGCGUGCGGGAAGAAGGCCU